This 467-nucleotide ribosomal RNA is filed under the name uncultured bacterium. RNAcentral's name for it is "partial 16S ribosomal RNA". It matches the Rfam family "Bacterial small subunit ribosomal RNA", at positions 29 to 507 of the family's 1533-position model. The record is from RNAcentral.
ACGAACGCUGGCGGCGUGCUUCACACAUGCAAGUCGCACGGAAAGGCCCUGCUUUUGUGGGGUGCUCGAGUGGCGAACGGGUGAGUAACACGUGAGUAACCUGCCCUUGACUUUGGGAUAACUUCAGGAAACUGGGGCUAAUACCGGAUAGGAGCUCCUGCUGCAUGGUGGGGGUUGGAAAGUUUCGGCGGUUGGGGAUGGACUCGCGGCUUAUCAGCUUGUUGGUGGGGUAGUGGCUUACCAAGGCUUUGACGGGUAGCCGGCCUGAGGGGGUGACCGGCCACAUUGGGACUGAGAUACGGCCCAGACUCCUACGGGAGGCAGCAGUGGGGAAUAUUGCACAAUGGGCGGAAGCCUGAUGCAGCAACGCCGCGUGCGGGAUGACGGCCUUCGGGUUGUAAACCGCUUUCGCCUGUGACGAAGCGUGAGUGACGGUAAUGGAUAAAGAAGCACCGGCUAACUACGUG